AGCGUACACGGUGGAUGCCCUGGCAGUCAGAGGCGAUGAAGGACGUGCUAAUCUGCGAUAAGCGUCGGUAAGGUGAUAUGAACCGUUAUAACCGGCGAUUUCCGAAUGGGGAAACCCAGUGUGUUUCGACACACUAUCAUUAACUGAAUCCAUAGGUUAAUGAGGCGAACCGGGGGAACUGAAACAUCUAAGUACCCCGAGGAAAAGAAAUCAACCGAGAUUCCCCCAGUAGCGGCGAGCGAACGGGGAGCAGCCCAGAGCCUGAAUCAGUGUGUGUGUUAGUGGAAGCGUCUGGAAAGGCGCGCGAUACAGGGUGACAGCCCCGUACACAAAAAUGCACAUGCUGUGAGCUCGAUGAGUAGGGCGGGACACGUGGUAUCCUGUCUGAAUAUGGGGGGACCAUCCUCCAAGGCUAAAUACUCCUGACUGACCGAUAGUGAACCAGUACCGUGAGGGAAAGGCGAAAAGAACCCCGGCGAGGGGAGUGAAAAAGAACCUGAAACCGUGUACGUACAAGCAGUGGGAGCACGCUUAGGCGUGUGACUGCGUACCUUUUGUAUAAUGGGUCAGCGACUUAUAUUCUGUAGCAAGGUUAACCGAAUAGGGGAGCCGAAGGGAAACCGAGUCUUAACUGGGCGUUAAGUUGCAGGGUAUAGACCCGAAACCCGGUGAUCUAGCCAUGGGCAGGUUGAAGGUUGGGUAACACUAACUGGAGGACCGAACCGACUAAUGUUGAAAAAUUAGCGGAUGACUUGUGGCUGGGGGUGAAAGGCCAAUCAAACCGGGAGAUAGCUGGUUCUCCCCGAAAGCUAUUUAGGUAGCGCCUCGUGAAUUCAUCUCCGGGGGUAGAGCACUGUUUCGGCAAGGGGGUCAUCCCGACUUACCAACCCGAUGCAAACUGCGAAUACCGGAGAAUGUUAUCACGGGAGACACACGGCGGGUGCUAACGUCCGUCGUGAAGAGGGAAACAACCCAGACCGCCAGCUAAGGUCCCAAAGUCAUGGUUAAGUGGGAAACGAUGUGGGAAGGCCCAGACAGCCAGGAUGUUGGCUUAGAAGCAGCCAUCAUUUAAAGAAAGCGUAAUAGCUCACUGGUCGAGUCGGCCUGCGCGGAAGAUGUAACGGGGCUAAACCAUGCACCGAAGCUGCGGCAGCGACACUAUGUGUUGUUGGGUAGGGGAGCGUUCUGUAAGCCUGUGAAGGUGUGCUGUGAGGCAUGCUGGAGGUAUCAGAAGUGCGAAUGCUGACAUAAGUAACGAUAAAGCGGGUGAAAAGCCCGCUCGCCGGAAGACCAAGGGUUCCUGUCCAACGUUAAUCGGGGCAGGGUGAGUCGACCCCUAAGGCGAGGCCGAAAGGCGUAGUCGAUGGGAAACAGGUUAAUAUUCCUGUACUUGGUGUUACUGCGAAGGGGGGACGGAGAAGGCUAUGUUGGCCGGGCGACGGUUGUCCCGGUUUAAGCGUGUAGGCUGGUUUUCCAGGCAAAUCCGGAAAAUCAAGGCUGAGGCGUGAUGACGAGGCACUACGGUGCUGAAGCAACAAAUGCCCUGCUUCCAGGAAAAGCCUCUAAGCAUCAGGUAACAUCAAAUCGUACCCCAAACCGACACAGGUGGUCAGGUAGAGAAUACCAAGGCGCUUGAGAGAACUCGGGUGAAGGAACUAGGCAAAAUGGUGCCGUAACUUCGGGAGAAGGCACGCUGAUAUGUAGGUGAGGUCCCUCGCGGAUGGAGCUGAAAUCAGUCGAAGAUACCAGCUGGCUGCAACUGUUUAUUAAAAACACAGCACUGUGCAAACACGAAAGUGGACGUAUACGGUGUGACGCCUGCCCGGUGCCGGAAGGUUAAUUGAUGGGGUUAGCGCAAGCGAAGCUCUUGAUCGAAGCCCCGGUAAACGGCGGCCGUAACUAUAACGGUCCUAAGGUAGCGAAAUUCCUUGUCGGGUAAGUUCCGACCUGCACGAAUGGCGUAAUGAUGGCCAGGCUGUCUCCACCCGAGACUCAGUGAAAUUGAACUCGCUGUGAAGAUGCAGUGUACCCGCGGCAAGACGGAAAGACCCCGUGAACCUUUACUAUAGCUUGACACUGAACAUUGAGCCUUGAUGUGUAGGAUAGGUGGGAGGCUUAGAAGUGUGGACGCCAGUCUGCAUGGAGCCGACCUUGAAAUACCACCCUUUAAUGUUUGAUGUUCUAACGUUGACCCGUAAUCCGGGUUGCGGACAGUGUCUGGUGGGUAGUUUGACUGGGGCGGUCUCCUCCUAAAGAGUAACGGAGGAGCACGAAGGUUGGCUAAUCCUGGUCGGACAUCAGGAGGUUAGUGCAAUGGCAUAAGCCAGCUUGACUGCGAGCGUGACGGCGCGAGCAGGUGCGAAAGCAGGUCAUAGUGAUCCGGUGGUUCUGAAUGGAAGGGCCAUCGCUCAACGGAUAAAAGGUACUCCGGGGAUAACAGGCUGAUACCGCCCAAGAGUUCAUAUCGACGGCGGUGUUUGGCACCUCGAUGUCGGCUCAUCACAUCCUGGGGCUGAAGUAGGUCCCAAGGGUAUGGCUGUUCGCCAUUUAAAGUGGUACGCGAGCUGGGUUUAGAACGUCGUGAGACAGUUCGGUCCCUAUCUGCCGUGGGCGCUGGAGAACUGAGGGGGGCUGCUCCUAGUACGAGAGGACCGGAGUGGACGCAUCACUGGUGUUCGGGUUGUCAUGCCAAUGGCACUGCCCGGUAGCUAAAUGCGGAAGAGAUAAGUGCUGAAAGCAUCUAAGCACGAAACUUGCCCCGAGAUGAGUUCUCCCUGACUCCUUGAGAGUCCUGAAGGAACGUUGAAGACGACGACGUUGAUAGGCCGGGUGUGUAAGCGCAGCGAUGCGUUGAGCUAACCGGUACUAAUGAACCGUGAGGCUUAACCUU
RNAcentral lists this ribosomal RNA (2890 nucleotides) under Escherichia coli KTE111. RNAcentral describes it as "bacterial LSU rRNA". It matches the Rfam family "Bacterial large subunit ribosomal RNA". Lineage: Bacteria; Pseudomonadati; Pseudomonadota; Gammaproteobacteria; Enterobacterales; Enterobacteriaceae. The record is from RNAcentral.